CCUACGGGAGGCUGCAGUGGGGAAUAUUGGACAAUGGGCGAAAGCCUGAUCCAGCCAUGCCGCGUGUGUGAAGAAGGCCUUCGGGUUGUAAAGCACUUUCAGUGGGGAAGAAAGCCUUGGGGCUAAUACCCUCGAGGAAGGACAUCACCCACAGAAGAAGCACCGGCUAACUCCGUGCCAGCAGCCGCGGUAAUACGGAGGGUGCGAGCGUUAAUCGGAAUUACUGGGCGUAAAGCGCGCGUAGGCGGUCUGAUAAGCCGGUUGUGAAAGCCCCGGGCUCAACCUGGGAACGGCAUCCGGAACUGUCAGGCUAGAAUGCAGGAGAGGAAGGUAGAAUUCCCGGUGUAGCGGUGAAAUGCGUAGAGAUCGGGAGGAAUACCAGUGGCGAAGGCGGCCUUCUGGACUGACACUGACGCUGAGGUGCGAAAGCGUGGGUAGCAAACAGGAUUAGAUACCCGUGUAGUC
This 465-nucleotide ribosomal RNA is filed under the name Vreelandella stevensii. Its description in RNAcentral is "partial 16S ribosomal RNA". It matches the Rfam family "Bacterial small subunit ribosomal RNA", at positions 338 to 795 of the family's 1533-position model. Lineage: Bacteria; Pseudomonadati; Pseudomonadota; Gammaproteobacteria; Oceanospirillales; Halomonadaceae. The record is from RNAcentral.